This 2825-nucleotide ribosomal RNA is filed under the name Klebsiella pneumoniae. Its description in RNAcentral is "partial 23S ribosomal RNA". It matches the Rfam family "Bacterial large subunit ribosomal RNA". Lineage: Bacteria; Pseudomonadati; Pseudomonadota; Gammaproteobacteria; Enterobacterales; Enterobacteriaceae. The record is from RNAcentral.
GGGUUGUGAGGUUAAGCGACUAAGCGUACACGGUGGAUGCCCUGGCAGUCAGAGGCGAUGAAGGACGUGCUAAUCUGCGAAAAGCGUCGGUAAGGUGAUAUGAACCGUUAUAACCGGCGAUGUCCGAAUGGGGAAACCCAGUGCAAUUCGUUGCACUAUCGUUAACUGAAUACAUAGGUUAACGAGGCGAACCGGGGGAACUGAAACAUCUAAGUACCCCGAGGAAAAGAAAUCAACCGAGAUUCCCCCAGUAGCGGCGAGCGAACGGGGAGCAGCCCAGAGUCUGAAUCAGCUUGUGUGUUAGUGGAACGGUCUGGAAAGUCCGACGGUACAGGGUGAUAGUCCCGUACACCAAAAUGCACAGGUUGUGAACUCGAAGAGUAGGGCGGGACACGUGGUAUCCUGUCUGAAUAUGGGGGGACCAUCCUCCAAGGCUAAAUACUCCUGACUGACCGAUAGUGAACCAGUACCGUGAGGGAAAGGCGAAAAGAACCCCGGCGAGGGGAGUGAAAAAGAACCUGAAACCGUGUACGUACAAGCAGUGGGAGCACCUUCGGGUGUGACUGCGUACCUUUUGUAUAAUGGGUCAGCGACUUAUAUUCUGUAGCAAGGUUAACCGUAUAGGGGAGCCGCAGGGAAACCGAGUCUUAACUGGGCGUUAAGUUGCAGGGUAUAGACCCGAAACCCGGUGAUCUAGCCAUGGGCAGGUUGAAGGUUGGGUAACACUAACUGGAGGACCGAACCGACUAAUGUUGAAAAAUUAGCGGAUGACUUGUGGCUGGGGGUGAAAGGCCAAUCAAACCGGGAGAUAGCUGGUUCUCCCCGAAAGCUAUUUAGGUAGCGCCUCGUGAAUUCAUCUUCGGGGGUAGAGCACUGUUUCGGCUAGGGGGUCAUCCCGACUUACCAACCCGAUGCAAACUACGAAUACCGAAGAAUGUUAUCACGGGAGACACACGGCGGGUGCUAACGUCCGUCGUGAAGAGGGAAACAACCCAGACCGCCAGCUAAGGUCCCAAAGUCAUGGUUAAGUGGGAAACGAUGUGGGAAGGCACAGACAGCCAGGAUGUUGGCUUAGAAGCAGCCAUCAUUUAAAGAAAGCGUAAUAGCUCACUGGUCGAGUCGGCCUGCGCGGAAGAUGUAACGGGGCUAAACCAUGCACCGAAGCUGCGGCAGCGACACUAUGUGUUGUUGGGUAGGGGAGCGUUCUGUAAGCCUGCGAAGGUGACCUGUGAGGGUUGCUGGAGGUAUCAGAAGUGCGAAUGCUGACAUAAGUAACGAUAAAGCGGGUGAAAAGCCCGCUCGCCGGAAGACCAAGGGUUCCUGUCCAACGUUAAUCGGGGCAGGGUGAGUCGACCCCUAAGGCGAGGCCGAAAGGCGUAGUCGAUGGGAAACAGGUUAAUAUUCCUGUACUUGGUGUUACUGCGAAGGGGGGACGGAGAAGGCUAUGUUAGCCGGGCGACGGUUGUCCCGGUUUAAGCAUGUAGGCUGGUUGUCCAGGCAAAUCCGGAUAAUCAAGGCUGAGGUGUGAUGACGAGGCACUACGGUGCUGAAGUAACAAAUGCCCUGCUUCCAGGAAAAGCCUCUAAGCAUCAGGUAACAUUAAAUCGUACCCCAAACCGACACAGGUGGUCAGGUAGAGAAUACCAAGGCGCUUGAGAGAACUCGGGUGAAGGAACUAGGCAAAAUGGUGCCGUAACUUCGGGAGAAGGCACGCUGGUGUGUAGGUGAAGUCCCUGCGGAUGGAGCUGAGACCAGUCGAAGAUACCAGCUGGCUGCAACUGUUUAUUAAAAACACAGCACUGUGCAAACACGAAAGUGGACGUAUACGGUGUGACGCCUGCCCGGUGCCGGAAGGUUAAUUGAUGGGGUUAUCCGUAAGGAGAAGCUCUUGAUCGAAGCCCCGGUAAACGGCGGCCGUAACUAUAACGGUCCUAAGGUAGCGAAAUUCCUUGUCGGGUAAGUUCCGACCUGCACGAAUGGCGUAAUGAUGGCCAGGCUGUCUCCACCCGAGACUCAGUGAAAUUGAACUCGCUGUGAAGAUGCAGUGUACCCGCGGCAAGACGGAAAGACCCCGUGAACCUUUACUAUAGCUUGACACUGAACAUUGAGCCUUGAUGUGUAGGAUAGGUGGGAGGCUUUGAAGCGUGGACGCCAGUCUGCGUGGAGCCAACCUUGAAAUACCACCCUUUAAUGUUUGAUGUUCUAACGUUGGCCCCUGACCGGGGUUGCGGACAGUGUCUGGUGGGUAGUUUGACUGGGGCGGUCUCCUCCCAAAGCGUAACGGAGGAGCACGAAGGUUAGCUAAUCCUGGUCGGACAUCAGGAGGUUAGUGCAAUGGCAUAAGCUAGCUUGACUGCGAGCGUGACGGCGCGAGCAGGUGCGAAAGCAGGUCAUAGUGAUCCGGUGGUUCUGAAUGGAAGGGCCAUCGCUCAACGGAUAAAAGGUACUCCGGGGAUAACAGGCUGAUACCGCCCAAGAGUUCAUAUCGACGGCGGUGUUUGGCACCUCGAUGUCGGCUCAUCACAUCCUGGGGCUGAAGUAGGUCCCAAGGGUAUGGCUGUUCGCCAUUUAAAGUGGUACGCGAGCUGGGUUUAGAACGUCGUGAGACAGUUCGGUCCCUAUCUGCCGUGGGCGCUGGAGAAUUGAGGGGGGCUGCUCCUAGUACGAGAGGACCGGAGUGGACGCAUCACUGGUGUUCGGGUUGUCAUGCCAAUGGCACUGCCCGGUAGCUAAAUGCGGAAGAGAUAAGUGCUGAAAGCAUCUAAGCACGAAACUUGCCCCGAGAUGAGUUCUCCCUGAGACUUUAAGUCUCCUGAAGGAACGUU